This 497-nucleotide ribosomal RNA is filed under the name uncultured bacterium. RNAcentral describes it as "partial 16S ribosomal RNA". It matches the Rfam family "Bacterial small subunit ribosomal RNA", at positions 28 to 507 of the family's 1533-position model. The record is from RNAcentral.
GAUGAACGCUGGCGGCGUGCCUAAUACAUGCAAGUCGAGCGAACAGACGAGGAGCUUGCUCCUCUGAUGUUAGCGGCGGACGGGUGAGUAACACGUGGAUAACCUACCUAUAAGACUGGGAUAACUUCGGGAAACCGGAGCUAAUACCGGAUAACAUGUUGAACCGCAUGGUUCUACAGUGAAAGACGGUCUUGCUGUCACUUAUAGAUGGAUCCGCGCCGCAUUAGCUAGUUGGUAAGGUAACGGCUUACCAAGGCAACGAUGCGUAGCCGACCUGAGAGGGUGAUCGGCCACACUGGAACUGAGACACGGUCCAGACUCCUACGGGAGGCAGCAGUAGGGAAUCUUCCGCAAUGGGCGAAAGCCUGACGGAGCAACGCCGCGUGAGUGAAGAAGGUCUUCGGAUCGUAAAACUCUGUUAUUAGGGAAGAACAAAUGUGUAAGUAACUAUGCACGUCUUGACGGUACCUAAUCAGAAAGCCACGGCUAACUACGUG